GACGAACGCUGGCGGCGUGCUUAACACAUGCAAGUCGAACGGAAAGGCCCUGCUUUUGUGGGGUGCUCGAGUGGCGAACGGGUGAGUAACACGUGAGUAACCUGCCCUUGACUUUGGGAUAACUUCAGGAAACUGGGGCUAAUACCGGAUAGGAGCUCCUGCUGCACGGUGGGGGUUGGAAAGUUUCGGCGGUUGGGGAUGGACUCGCGGCUUAUCAGCUUGUUGGUGGGGUAGUGGCUUACCAAGGGUUUGACGGGUAGCCGGCCUGGGAGGGUGACCGGCCACAUUGGGACUGAGAUACGGCCCAGACUCCUACGGGAGGCAGCAGUGGGGAAUAUUGCACAAUGGGCGGAAGCCUGAUGCAGCAACGCCGCGUGCGUGAUGACGUCCUUCGGGUUGUAAACCGCUUUCGCCUGUGACGAAGCGUGAGUGACGGUAAUGGGUAAAGAAGCACCGGCUAACUACGUG
This 468-nucleotide ribosomal RNA is filed under the name uncultured bacterium. RNAcentral describes it as "partial 16S ribosomal RNA". It matches the Rfam family "Bacterial small subunit ribosomal RNA", at positions 28 to 507 of the family's 1533-position model. The record is from RNAcentral.